RNAcentral lists this ribosomal RNA (774 nucleotides) under uncultured Neocallimastigales. RNAcentral describes it as "partial large subunit ribosomal RNA". It matches the Rfam family "Eukaryotic large subunit ribosomal RNA", at positions 22 to 628 of the family's 3401-position model. The record is from RNAcentral. Lineage: Eukaryota; Fungi; Neocallimastigomycota; Neocallimastigomycetes; Neocallimastigales.
CGUACACGCUGUGACUAGCAUAUCAAUAAGCGGAGGAAAAGAAACUAACAAGGAUUCCCCUAGUAACGGCGAGUGAAGCGGGAAGAGCUCAAAUUUGAAAUCUUAAAGGGUUUCCCUUUACGAAUUGUAGUUUAAAGAAGUGUUUUCUGUUGAGGUUUUGGUAAAAGUUCUUUGGAAUAGGACAUCAUAGAGGGUGAGAAUCCCGUAUUUGACCUUUACUUUCAACUUUGUGAUACACUUUCAAAGAGUCGGAUUGUUUGGGAAUGCAGUCCAAAAUGGGUGGUAAAUUUCAUCUAAAGCUAAAUAUUGGCGAGAGACCGAUAGCGAACAAGUACCGUGAGGGAAAGAUGAAAAGAACUUUGAAAAGAGAGUUAAACAGUACGUGAAAUUGUCAAAAGGGAAGCGUUUGACACCAGUGUUGUUUUUCUGAAAAUCAAUUAAAGAACUGUUUAUGCUAAGUUGUUUAGACUUUAUCAGCUAACUGUUUAGUUUGAGCUUUUCUUUAAUGCACUUUUCAGUUAACAAGUCAACAUCAAUUUCUUUUGCUGUAAAAAAGCUUGAGGAAGGUGGCUUGAGAUUCGUCUUAAGUGUUUAUAGCCUCUUGCCUAUGCAGUCGGAGAGAUUGAGGUCUGCAGCGUAGAUCCUUCGGGGCUAAAUGCAUUUGUGCUAAGUUAUAGCAUUUUAUAGACAACUUGUUGACUAUGAUUUGUCUUGUAGCUUACUCGCUUAUGUUAUUUUACCUACGCUUAGGAUGUUGAGUCGUAGAGCACGCAG